UACCGACCCCGCCGGCGUGGUCGACGAUUUCCCUCAUUCAGCGCUUAUCGCUAUCGACCCACUAGGGUCGAUUAAUUCUUUCAAAUAUUUUUUCCUCUCAGACGACGCCCUGAGCCGAGGUUCGCGCCCAACUGGGCACCCUCAGGCCUGUUGUCUUAAACGUUGUACCGGGUGAGAGCCUUCAGCGCUCCCCAUUUGUCCGGCCAAGUAGUUAAUGCCAUCUGCGGCAAAUCUACAAUAAGUCACGUCAAAAAAAAAAAAAAAAAAAAAAAAAAAAAAAAAAAAAAAAAAAAAAAAAAAAAAAAAAAAAAAAAAAAAAAGA
Molecule: long non-coding RNA, 322 nt
Organism: Pectinophora gossypiella (pink bollworm)
Lineage: Eukaryota; Metazoa; Arthropoda; Insecta; Lepidoptera; Gelechiidae
Exons: 2
Source: RefSeq, a predicted model, not a curated record